UUGAACGCUGGCGGCAUGCCUUACACAUGCAAGUCGAACGGUAACAGCUCUUCGGAGGCUGACGAGUGGCGAACGGGUGAGUAAUACAUCGGAACGUGCCCGAUCGUGGGGGAUAACGGAGCGAAAGCUUUGCUAAUACCGCAUACGAUCUACGGAUGAAAGCAGGGGACCCUCGGGCCUUGCGCGAACGGAGCGGCCGAUGGCAGAUUAGGUAGUUGGUGGGAUAAAAGCUUACCAAGCCGACGAUCUGUAGCUGGUCUGAGAGGACGACCAGCCACACUGGGACUGAGACACGGCCCAGACUCCUACGGGAGGCAGCAGUGGGGAAUUUUGGACAAUGGGCGAAAGCCUGAUCCAGCAAUGCCGCGUGCAGGAUGAAGGCCUUCGGGUUGUAAACUGCUUUUGUACGGAACGAAAUCGGGCGCGUGAAUAGCGUGCCUGGAUGACGGUACUGUCAGAAGAAGCACCGGCUAACUACGU
This 480-nucleotide ribosomal RNA is filed under the name uncultured bacterium. RNAcentral's name for it is "bacterial SSU rRNA". It matches the Rfam family "Bacterial small subunit ribosomal RNA", at positions 30 to 506 of the family's 1533-position model. The record is from RNAcentral.